Mauremys reevesii (Reeves's turtle) is the source of this 853-nucleotide long non-coding RNA. RefSeq lists it as uncharacterized. The transcript is spliced from 5 exons. The record is from RefSeq and is a predicted model, not a curated record. Lineage: Eukaryota; Metazoa; Chordata; Testudines; Geoemydidae.
GACAUUAUCAGUGGGCCUCACUUCCUCCCACAACUCAACACAUGGAAACACAUCUGGAGGACAAAGAUUUUGAACUGGGGGAGGGUGGUCCCAGGCCAGGAAAAAGUCCCAGCCUGUGUAGUGAAGAUCUGCAACCUGCUUGUAUCAUCUGUCAGGGUCCAGUUUCUGAACAUCAUCUUCGUACUAAGCCCCUUCUCCCCACCCCCUCAUUUGCAGGCUUCCAAAAAAAUUAGCAAGAUCAAGAAGGGAAAGGAUGAGAAUGGAAACAAAACCUCACAAUAAGAUGGAGGAGAGUUCAACAGGAAAAUUCACAUGUGCUCUUGAACUGGGUGUACAGACCCUUUUGAUGGGAUCCCUUCCCAACCAGUACUACCCCAGUUUGAGAGUUAAAAGACAUUUGGAUCCAGGAAUACAGUCACUGUGAGAGAAAGGAGGAAGUGGUUCAAGGAAGUUGUCUGGAGCCUUACAACAAAGCCUGUGCUGAGGACCCAGGCUUUAGGCUGAAGUUCCAAUAGCAAAGUGGGCUAGAAUUCCCUUCCUCCAUCAGCAGUGAAGGCUCACGUUACUUCCUGACGGUUCCAACCAGUCUGUUUUAGACCCAAGAAAGCAGGACAGGCUAAGAAAUACAGUCACCUACAGCAGGCUUAUUAUAGUCCUAGCCUGGGGCAGGCAUGCUGGGAAACAUGUAACCCCUGUGUUUUCCAUAGCUGGAGAGAGGUUGUGCUGAUGGUCUCUCCUUGAAGGGGCAGAGCAAAAAAUAUCUAGAGAGCACUUUUAUGGAGCUGUACUCAGCCUAUGGGACCUCAGAAAGACUGAUAAUCCAAGGCUCUAUUUAAGAUGCAGUGAUGCCACA